This 497-nucleotide ribosomal RNA is filed under the name uncultured bacterium. RNAcentral's name for it is "partial 16S ribosomal RNA". It matches the Rfam family "Bacterial small subunit ribosomal RNA", at positions 28 to 507 of the family's 1533-position model. The record is from RNAcentral.
GAUGAACGCCGGCGGCGUGCCUAAUACAUGCAAGUCGAGCGAACGGACGAGAAGCUUGCUUCUCUGAUGUUAGCGGCGGACGGGUGAGUAACACGUGGAUAACCUACCUAUAAGACUGGGAUAACUUCGGGAAACCGGAGCUAAUACCGGAUGAUAUUUUGAACCGCAUGGUUCAAAAGUGAAAGACGGUCUUGCUGUCACUUAUAGAUGGAUCCGCGCUGCAUUAGCUAGUUGGUAAGGUAACGGCUUACCAAGGCAACGAUGCAUAGCCGACCUGAGAGGGUGAUCGGCCACACUGGAACUGAGACACGGUCCAGACUCCUACGGGAGGCAGCAGUAGGGAAUCUUCCGCAAUGGGCGAAGGCCUGACGGAGCAACGCCGCGUGAGUGAUGAAGGUCUUCGGAUCGUAAAACUCUGUUAUUAGGGAAGAACAUAUGUGUAAGUAACUGUGCACAUCUUGACGGUACCUAAUCAGAAAGCCACGGCUAACUACGUG